This 332-nucleotide unclassified non-coding RNA is filed under the name soil metagenome. Its description in RNAcentral is "partial contains 5.8S ribosomal RNA, internal transcribed spacer 2, and large subunit ribosomal RNA". The stretch from base 1 to 120 matches the Rfam family "5.8S ribosomal RNA", at positions 35 to 154 of the family's 154-position model. The record is from RNAcentral.
GAUGAAGAACGUAGCAAAAUGCGAUAAGUAAUGUGAAUUGCAGAAUUCAGUGAAUCAUCGAAUCUUUGAACGCACAUUGCGCCCGCCAGUAUUCUGGCGGGCAUGCCUGUUCGAGCGUCAUUUCAACCCUCAAGCACAGCUUGGUGUUGGGACUCGCGUUAAUUCGCGUUCCCCAAAUUGAUUGGCGGUCACGUCGAGCUUCCAUAGCGUAGCAGUAAAACCCUCGUUACUGGUAAUCGUCGCGGCCACGCCGUUAAACCCCAACUUCUGAAUGUUGACCUCGGAUCAGGUAGGAAUACCCGCUGAACUUAAGCAUAUCAAUAAGCGGAGGA